CAGUGCCAUAUCAGAUCCAAUGAGGAAGUUCAAGAUGAUUCCCCUGCUGAAUGCACAGAUGAGGAUGGAAUCAUGCAUCCAAUGAACUCAUCAUGGAUCUCUGAGAAGUGUGAAGAGUGCUACUGCCUUAAAAAUGGAAUUCAGUAUUACAAUAAAGUUGCAAUACCUGUACAUUAUGACAGAAUCAAGUGCACUGAAAUUUUUCACAAGGAAAACUGCAACUACACCAUGGUGGAUAGUCAAGACCCACAAAAACUUUGUGCUGUGGAAGCUUGGAUAAUUUAAUGCCCUCCAGUGAACUGUAUACUCCCUGGACAUGCCUCCUAAUCUUUCAGCCUCUAAUAAUCUGUGAUGAUAUAGUCCUAUCUAGUAGUAAAAUCAUUUUUGA
Molecule: long non-coding RNA, 388 nt
Organism: Fukomys damarensis (Damara mole-rat)
Lineage: Eukaryota; Metazoa; Chordata; Mammalia; Rodentia; Bathyergidae
Exons: 3
Source: RefSeq, a predicted model, not a curated record